RNAcentral lists this long non-coding RNA (766 nucleotides) under Homo sapiens (human). RNAcentral describes it as "cervical cancer associated DHX9 suppressive transcript". The record is from RNAcentral. Lineage: Eukaryota; Metazoa; Chordata; Mammalia; Primates; Hominidae.
GCACUUCCGGGGCCCGCGUCCCCCGGCGGCUUCGCCGAGAAGGGGCUUUGGGAGCUUAAGGGCGCCGGCACGCGUUCCCCUGGCGCAGAGCUCGCUAGCCGGGGCGCGGGCUGCCUCCUUGUUCUGGUGUGAUCCGAAUGUAACGGAGCGGACUUUGGGAUCCAGAACCCCGGACUGAGUGGAGCCUGGCUGUUCUGGUGAAGUCACUGUGGGCUAGUAGAUUGAGAAUGAGUUCAUAGUCACACUUGAGUUCAAAUCUGAACUACAUCAUAGGUGAGCUGUGUGUCCUUGGAUUUAUAACCUCAAUUUGCAUACUGAGGAGAAGUUUAAGGAUCUCUGCAUCAAAGAGUUAUUGUGAAGGCAAAAAAGGGCUGCAGUUCCUGAUACUGGUUUUUCUACAUGCUUCAGCCAAAGACAUAUACUCUUUGAUCCCUGAGAACACUAUUUCCUCAGUGUCUUUGCACAUGGAGUUCACUUCUCUGCUUGUGAAGUCUAUGAAUAUUGCAUGGCUGAUUUGUCACAAUUUUAAGUCUUCAACAUCUGGAGUGUUCUGGCAAGAAUUUGUAGGAAAAAUUUUUGAAUCAUCAGAUUACCAUAGCACAACCUUGGAGAAUAAAACUCUUUUGCUCUGAAGCUCAUCUAAUAACCUGAUAUCUCUCAAAUGAAUCUAUCCAAUGACAGGGAAUACCCCAUGUUAAACAGCUGAUUCUUGUUCUGAAUACGUUUAUUAUCUUGUAGUUAGUAAAUAAAUCAAUUGGACCCUUAA